Long non-coding RNA from Empidonax traillii (willow flycatcher), 707 nucleotides. RefSeq lists it as uncharacterized. The record is from RefSeq and is a predicted model, not a curated record. NCBI's taxonomy places the organism in Eukaryota, Metazoa, Chordata, Aves, Passeriformes, Tyrannidae. The transcript has 3 exons.
UACUUUUGCUGCGAAUCACUGCAGCUGUGGUUAGAAGGGGAGCUGUUACAUGAGUGUUGUAGAAGGCAGGCUGGACCACUGGAAGUUUGAAGAGAGCUGCUGGGAAGGGGAACUUUGGAACUGAGGCCAUCCCAGCAGAGCCCUGCAAAGAACUGGAGCUGGCCUGGGCAGUCACCCGGAGGGGAUAUUGUGUGUCACACCACACAUCUGCCACAGCUGCCAGAGUACAGUGGGACCUUGUUUCAGCACAGCCAGCCGCAAAAGCUCAUUUGCCAAUAAGAGGAUGAUAAGAAAUAUUCUACAAGAUCUGAAGAAUGUGCCUGCAGUGGGUUGAGUUUUCCUAAGGACUUUCUUCUGCACAGCUGGAAGCAUUGGAGGGAGCUGCUCUGUGCUGAGGUGAAGUCAGGAUGCUAAUCAUUCCCUUUCCAGUCUGGACUGUUGUUUAAAAAUGCAGGAGCUAAAAGGCUUAAUGGUAAAUGUGUGUUUUGAAUAUUCAGAGCAGCAACUUAGUGUUUGUUCUUGCUGCGAGUCACUGAGAUGAUGGUCUGGCUCUCGGGAGCGUGUCCUUACACCUUCCUGUGCUUGUGUUUGUGCUGACUGUGGGCAGAGAGCAGCCCAGUUGAAAAGGGAUCAGUUCCCCUUUGAGCACAGGAUCUCCUUUAUCCCAGGACUAAAGAUCAGAAAGAAGAGAGGGUGGUUGUGGAGGA